AUUGAACGCUGGCGGCAUGCCUUACACAUGCAAGUCGAACGGCAGCGCGGGAGCAAAUCCUGGCGGCGAGUGGCGAACGGGUGAGUAAUAUAUCGGGAACGUGCCCUGUAGCGGGGGAUAACCUAUCGAAAGAUGGACUAAUACCNCAUACGCUCUACGGAGGAAAGACGGGGGUCGCGAAGACCUCGCACUAUAGGAGCGGCCGAUAUCGGAUUAGCUAG
RNAcentral lists this ribosomal RNA (221 nucleotides) under uncultured bacterium. RNAcentral's name for it is "partial 16S ribosomal RNA". It matches the Rfam family "Bacterial small subunit ribosomal RNA", at positions 30 to 248 of the family's 1533-position model. The record is from RNAcentral.